AUGUGCCUUCCAUACCUCUGGUUGAUUUGCUUCAUAGCAAGGAUUAGUUUUAUUUCCAUUUUUAUCUUAUCUGGUAUGACACUCUCGGGGCGAAAGAUUGGUAUGUGCAGAUGUGUAAGUGCGAGUGAUUUGACUUGGGUUUCCAAUUGGCUAUCCCUAAAAUUGUUUGAGUUAGCUUAUAUACGUUCUAACAAUGCUGUCUUUUUUUCCGGGCUUCUUGCAUGCUACACUGGUCCAACAAGUAGUGUAUUGAUUCCAUAUCAUCAUAGCUUCCCAAUUCCAACAUUGACUUCAGCAUAUCAGGAAAGGUGUGAUCUUUUGCAAAUGCAAUUGAGGGGACUUCUGAAUGUUACUAAAAAGAGAAAGAUGAUUAUCGAUAUAUGCACUCAACCAUGGAAUGAUUCAUGUUGUCCAGCAGUCAAUACUAGACCUAUAUUAUCCAAGAUGUUAGUACUUGGAUGUGUUUUUUGUCUUUCAUGGAAGUCUUGCCCAUCAUAA
This 498-nucleotide ribosomal RNA is filed under the name Triticum aestivum (bread wheat). Its description in RNAcentral is "partial small subunit ribosomal RNA". Lineage: Eukaryota; Viridiplantae; Streptophyta; Magnoliopsida; Poales; Poaceae. The record is from RNAcentral.